ACAAGUACCGUGAGGGAAAGUUGAAAAGCACUUUGAAAAGAGAGUGCAAGAGAACGUGUAACCGUUAUAGUGGAAGCGGAUGGAGCCGACGUAUCCAGUGCGUAUUCAAUCCAAGUUGGCUGUGAUGCAGUUGUGUGGAGUUCUGCAAAGUCUCUCAUGAUCGUUAUUGCAAUUAAUUUGGAUGCAUUUACGCACAGAGUGCGCCGAAUCGGCUGGUUGUGCUGUUUGAAGGUUGCGAAGAGGACUAAACUUGUUUAGAAACCUGAGCGAUUGGACGACAGAUGCGGCUAGUCGUUGUUGGGGAUUGGUGAAUUCGUGGCAGUCUGUUCGAGUUUGGGCGGCAUUGAUGCGAUGCAUGCAUUUCGUCUUUAUCGUCUACAUUCCAGCGGGCUGCUGAUCGAUCCCACAUUCGGUGUCUAGUCGGUCACCCAUUUGACCCGUCUUGAAACACGGACCAAGGAGUUUAAGGUGUGCGCAAGUCAUUGGGCGUGAAACCCAAAGGCGUAAUGAAAGUGGGACACUUGGUGUCUGUGAUGCGAUUUGUGGGUGUUUCGACGCCCGUGAAGCAGCAUCGACCCAUGACUAGGACUUGUUCUGUUGUGGAGUCUGAGCGUACGCUUUGAGACCCGAAAGAUGGUGAACUAUGCCUGAACAGGACGAAGUCAGAGGAAACUCUGAUGGAAGUCCGAAGCGGUUCUGACGUGCAAAUCGAUCGUCUGAUUUGGGUAUAGGGGCGCAAGACUAAUCGAACCAUCUAGUAGCUGGUUCCUUCCGA
This 775-nucleotide ribosomal RNA is filed under the name Aphelenchoides sp. Korea. RNAcentral's name for it is "eukaryotic LSU rRNA". It matches the Rfam family "Eukaryotic large subunit ribosomal RNA", at positions 344 to 964 of the family's 3401-position model. The record is from RNAcentral. Lineage: Eukaryota; Metazoa; Nematoda; Chromadorea; Rhabditida; Aphelenchoididae.